CUUGAAUUCUGGAGUGAGGAUAAAUUAACAAGCCGUUGCAACGUUUCGGUUCUCCUGGAACCUUCUUCAGGCAGGCUUGUUAUGGUUUGAAAUUAGUUGAAUAAGUUUGAGGAUCCAAAAAAAAAAUAAAAAAUUAUGAGUAUUGUUUAAAGGCUUUCUCUCAAGGAGCUGGAAGCAGAUUUACUAAAAUAGAUUAAGCAUCAAGAGAAUAUGAUUAGUGUUUAAAGGCUUUCUCUCAAAGAGCUGGAAGCAGAUUUAUUAAAUGGAUUAAGCAUCAAAAGAAUAUGAUUAGUGUUUAAAGGCUUUCUCUCAAAGAGCUGUAAGCAGAUUUACUAAAAUAGAUUAAGUAUCAAUAGAGUACGAGUAGUGUUUAAAGGCUUUCUCUCAAAGAGCUGGAAGCAGAUUUACUAAAAUAGAUUAAGCAUCAAAAGAGUAUGAUUAGUGUUUAAAGGCUUUCUCUCAAAGAGCUGGAAGCAGUGAGUGAGCUUUUGCCUCCUCAACUGUCCCUUUUUAUAGUAUAGGGGGCGGGACUCUGUUUGAAUGGGCCAAUAGGAGGCUCUCUGUUUGAAUGGGCCAAUAGGAGGCUCUCCCAUGUUUUUGUGGUUGUUUUAAUCAUCUGUAGUGGGGCUUUUUUCAUUGUUUUAUUUUGAUUUUAAACUAAUGGUAUUAUUCAUUUAUUAAAUUACUGUUUCCCACUUGUGUACUGUGGGUUUUCCAUUAUUUAUUUAUUUAUUUAUUUCUCCAUUUAGGUUUGAAUUGUUUUAAUCUCUUUUUUAAUUCUUUUUUCUUUUUCUUUCAAGGCAUUCUGGGGUGGCAUAGGUAUGCCUUUGCCCGUGUUUGUCCUUAUUGGGAGUUGUGAUUAAUCAAAUGAUGAUUCUUAUGAACAGGCCGACCAGAAGGGAAACGAACAGUAGAGCGAAUUGCAAACAUGAGGCACGGGCUGAUUAGGGUUGGGGUUAGGGUUAGCGGUUAGGGUUAGGGUUAGGGGUUAGGGUUAGGGUUAGGUGGUUAGGGU
Molecule: long non-coding RNA, 1015 nt
Organism: Ictalurus punctatus (channel catfish)
Lineage: Eukaryota; Metazoa; Chordata; Actinopteri; Siluriformes; Ictaluridae
Source: Ensembl